UUCCUCGGGAAUACAUACCUUUCCAAGAGGUGGGGCAAUUCUUCCACUCCCAGUGCAUACAGUCGAUGCUUCCAAUCAUCCCGGGAAAUCCACGUUCUUCUCCCUUGUGUAGUAGCCUUUCAAGAUCGUCGGGUGUUGGACGUCUUAGGUACUCAUCGCCAAACAAGUCGAUGAUUGCGGCAGGGAAAUUGUGGAAGCAAUUCCGAGCUGUUGAUUCACCAAGUCGGACAUAUUCGUCCACCGUAUCAGCCCCACCCCCAUAUGCUAAUUGACGUAUUGCUGCUGUGCAUUUCUGGAGCGGUAAUAGACUACGCCUUCCGACUGCAUCUUCCGUUGCAGCAAAAUACUCCACUUCCGUAGAGAGGCGAUGCACAAUCCGCAUGAACAAUGACUUGCUCAUUCGAAACCGUUGGCGGAAUAUAUUGGAAGGAUAUGUAGGAGUUUCAGAAAAAUAAUCAUUCCAUAGCUGGAUGUCGCCUUCUUCCCGGUGUCUUUCAAUAAAAAUACGUUUUUUUCUGUUUUUGGGUUCGGACAACAUUUCGGGGAUUUCUAAUAAUUCUUCAAAUAGAGAUUCAAAUUCAGCAUCAUCUUCAUCAUUUUUAUGGUAAUGAUAAUGUGAUGAACCAGCCAUUUGAAAUGAAAAAAAAAACUUAAUUUUUAAUCUGAUUUUUAAGAGAGAUAGAAGACGGAUGAAGUUGUGAAGUAAAUGUGAUGAAGUUCUCUUCUACUUAUAGUGUGAUAGUGAAUAUCUUCUCCCUUGUGUAGUAGCCUUUCAAGAUCGUCGGGUGUUGGACGUCUUAGGUACUCAUCGCCAAACAAGUCGAUGAUUGCGGCAGUAAAAUUGUGCAAGCAAUUCCGAGCUGUUGAUUCACCAAGUCGGACAUAUUCGUCCACCGUAUCAGCCCCACCCCCAUAUGCUAAUUGACGUAUUGCUGCUGUGCAUUUCUG
RNAcentral lists this long non-coding RNA (948 nucleotides) under Brassica napus (rape). RNAcentral describes it as "long non-coding RNA (BNAP_LNC017149)". The record is from RNAcentral. Lineage: Eukaryota; Viridiplantae; Streptophyta; Magnoliopsida; Brassicales; Brassicaceae.